Molecule: long non-coding RNA, 928 nt
Organism: Oncorhynchus tshawytscha (Chinook salmon)
Lineage: Eukaryota; Metazoa; Chordata; Actinopteri; Salmoniformes; Salmonidae
Source: Ensembl
GGUGUGAGACUGUAUGAUGGGAGGGGUAGAGUAGGGGUGUGAGACUGUAUGAUGGGAGGGGUAGAGUAGGCGGUGUGAGACUGUAAUGAUGGGAGGGGUAGAGUAGGGGGUGUGAGACUGUAUGAUGGGAGGGGUAGAGUAGGGGGUGUGAGACUGUAUGAUGGGAGGGGUAGAGUAGGGGGUGUGAGACUGUAAUGAUGGGAGGGGUAGAGUAGGGGGUGUGAGACUGUAAUGAUAGGAGGGGUAGAGUAGGUGGUGUGAGACUGUAAUGAUGGGAGGGGUAGAGUAGGGGGUGUGAGACUGUAUGAUGGGAGGGGUAGAGUAGGGGGUGUGAGACUGUAUGAUGGGAGGGGUAGAGUAGGGGGUGUGAGACUGUAAUGAUGGGAGGGGUAGAGUAGGGGAUGUGAGACUGUAUGAUGGGAGGGGUAGAGUAGGGGGUGUGAGACUGUAUGAUGGGAGGGGUAGAGUAGGGGGUGUGAGACUGUAUGAUGGGAGGGGUAGAGUAGGGGGGGUGAGACUGUAUGAUGGGAGGGGUAGAGGGUGCGGUGUGAGACUGUAAUGAUGGGAGGGGUAGAGUAGGCGGUGUGAGACUGUAUGAUGGGAGGGGUAGAGUAGGCGGUGUGAGACUGUAAUGAUGGGAGGGGUAGAGAGGGGGUGUGAGACUGUAUGAUGGGAGGGGUAGAGUAGGGGUGUGAGACUGUAUGAUGGGAGGGGUAGAGUAGGGGGUGUGAGACUGUAUGAUGGGAGGGGUAGAGUAGGCGGUGUGAGACUGUAUGAUGGGAGGGGUAGAGUAGGCGGUGUGAGACUGUAAUGAUGGGAGGGGUAGAGUAGGGGGUGUGAGACUGUAUGAUGGGAGGGGUAGAGUAGGGGGUGUGAGACUGUAUGAUGGGAGGGAUAGAGUAGAGGGUGUGAUACUGUCUGAUGGGAG